GAUGAACGCUGGCGGCGUGCCUAAUACAUGCAAGUAGAACGCUGAAGCUUGGUGCUUGCACCGAGCGGAUGAGUUGCGAACGGGUGAGUAACGCGUAGGUAACCUGCCUCUUAGCGGGGGAUAACUAUUGGAAACGAUAGCUAAUACCGCAUAAAAGUCGAUAUCGCAUGAUAUUGAUUUGAAAGGUGCAAAUGCAUCACUAAGAGGUGGACCUGCGUUGUAUUAGCUAGUUGGUGAGGUAACGGCUCACCAAGGCGACGAUACAUAGCCGACCUGAGAGGGUGAUCGGCCACACUGGGACUGAGACACGGCCCAGACUCCUACGGGAGGCAGCAGUAGGGAAUCUUCGGCAAUGGGGGCAACCCUGACCGAGCAACGCCGCGUGAGUGAAGAAGGUUUUCGGAUCGUAAAGCUCUGUUGUAAGAGAAGAACGAGUGUGAGAGUGGAAAGUUCACACUGUGACGGUAACUUACCAGGAAGGGACGGCUAACUACGUG
RNAcentral lists this ribosomal RNA (497 nucleotides) under uncultured bacterium. RNAcentral's name for it is "partial 16S ribosomal RNA". It matches the Rfam family "Bacterial small subunit ribosomal RNA", at positions 28 to 507 of the family's 1533-position model. The record is from RNAcentral.